UUCGAUUCCUCCCGCGGCAAGGUAAAACCCAAUCUCCCUUCUCCCUUUUUUUUUUGUGGUUUGUGGGAGGCUCUUGGUUGAUGCCCUAGGAAGGGAGGGAGGAGAUCCUUGGCCUGAUUUGGUAGGGUUUUAUCACCCUAUAACUUCCCUUCCGGUGGAUUCGGGAGGAGGGGAAGGCAUUUUGAAACAGGGGAGGGAGGGCAUUUCAAUCGGAAGACUCCCUCCCCCUUUUUCAUGUUUGGGCUGCCCUUGCUUAG
This 257-nucleotide long non-coding RNA is filed under the name Phoenix dactylifera (date palm). RNAcentral's name for it is "long non-coding RNA (PDAC_LNC019028)". The record is from RNAcentral. Lineage: Eukaryota; Viridiplantae; Streptophyta; Magnoliopsida; Arecales; Arecaceae.